This is a long non-coding RNA of Homalodisca vitripennis (glassy-winged sharpshooter), 294 nucleotides long. RefSeq lists it as uncharacterized. Lineage: Eukaryota; Metazoa; Arthropoda; Insecta; Hemiptera; Cicadellidae. The transcript is spliced from 3 exons. The record is from RefSeq and is a predicted model, not a curated record.
CUAUUAGAUAAUAAUUACAUUGUACAUAACCUUAACAGACCUGAUGGAUAUGGAGGAACCUCCUUUAUUAUACAUAAGUCAAUUUCAUAUAAUGUUGUUACAGAAUAUAACGAUAACUAUACACAAAUGCAAGCAAUACAGAUGACAUUGUUUUAUACUCCUCUGGAAAACAUAUCGAGACAGUCUACACAAACAUGCAACACACUCUCAGCACAGUACAAUCAAACUUCAGUCAACUCCAUCUGGAAUUCAAUGCAACCAAAAGUAAGAUGAUUUCAAAGCCUACCAACGGAG